This 405-nucleotide ribosomal RNA is filed under the name uncultured bacterium. RNAcentral's name for it is "partial 16S ribosomal RNA". It matches the Rfam family "Bacterial small subunit ribosomal RNA", at positions 28 to 526 of the family's 1533-position model. The record is from RNAcentral.
GACGAACGCUGGCGGCGUGCUUAACACAUGCAAGUCGAGCGGAUCGGCGAACGGGUGAGUAACGCGUGUGUAACUGCCCCCCUCUCUGGGGUAACAGUUGGAAACGGCUGCUAAUACCGGAUAGUGGGGGAUGACUCGCGUCCUAUCAGCUUGUUGGUGGGGUAGUGGCCUACCAAGGCGACGACGGGUAGCCGGCCUGAGAGGGCGACCGGCCACAUUGGGCUGAGGUACGGCGCAAAGUCGUACGGGAGGCAUCGGGGGGGAAUAUUGCACAAUGGGGGAAACCCUGAUGCAGCAACGCCGCGUGCGGGAUGACGGCCUUCGGGUUGUAAACCGCUUUCAGCCAUGACGCGGUAGUGGCAGAAGAAGCACCGGCUAACUACGUGCCAGCAGCCGCGGUAAUUC